Alligator mississippiensis (American alligator) is the source of this 75-nucleotide microRNA precursor. It matches the Rfam family "mir-192/215 microRNA precursor family". From Rfam's summary of the family: This family represents the human microRNA (miRNA) precursors mir-192 and mir-215. Animal miRNAs are transcribed as ~70nt precursors and subsequently processed by the Dicer enzyme to give a ~22nt product. The record is from Rfam. Lineage: Eukaryota; Metazoa; Chordata; Crocodylia; Alligatoridae.
GCAGGAAAAUGACCUAUGAAUUGACAGACUGUGUAUUCUAAGCUUGUCUGUCAUUUCUGUAGGCCAAUAUUCUGC